Molecule: long non-coding RNA, 1477 nt
Filed under: Equus caballus (horse)
Lineage: Eukaryota; Metazoa; Chordata; Mammalia; Perissodactyla; Equidae
Description: lncRNA (ENSECAG00000049411.1)
Source: RNAcentral
GUAAGGCAUUUGAUCGCCCAAGGUGCAUUCUCUGUGAAUGGUGGUGGAAAGACUGAGCUGCAACACUUCUGUGUGGAGGUAUAUUGUGGUUUUUUACAGAUUUAAUUUUUUAGAGUAGUUUGAAGUUCACAACAAAAUUGAGAGGAAGGUACAAAGGUUUCUCAUAUACCCUGUGUCCCACCCCCAAUACAUACACACACACACACAGCCUCCUCUCCUACCGACAUCCCCCACCAAAAAGGUACAUUUGUUGCAACUGAUGAGCCCACCUUGACACGCUGUUGUCACUUCAAGUCCAUGGUUUACAUGAGGGUGCACUCUUGGUGUUGUACCUUCUGUGGGUUUGGACAAACAUAUAAUGGCAUGUAUCCACCACUAUAAUCUUAGCCAGAGUAUUUUCACUGCCUCUGCGCUCUGCCUAGUCAUCUCCCCCUCCCCUACCCCCGCAACCACGGAUGUUGUGAUUGUUGGAGUUACAGCUUUCUAAAGGCAAAAUUUUCUUCCCUCCUGCUUCUUUCUUUGGAAUUGGAUUUAGAGGAAACUUUGUUUCAAUCCAGGCUCUACGACUUAGCAGCUGUAUGGCCCUGAGCAAGUUAUUUAACCUCUCUGAGCAUAAGCGUCCUCAGCUGUAGCACAGACAUAUACUAUCUAUCCGGCAGUGAUGAAUAAAUGUGCACAAAGUGCUUAUGUGUACACAGGAGGCGCUAAGGAGGCUUGGGGUGAUAAAGGACAUCAAAAUGAGAAGAACCUCCAGGAAACCCCAUUCUGCCCCCUCUCUCCUGGCAGCCAGAACAUCAACCCCAGUCAUCCACCCCCUUGCCCUUCCCCGUCAUUGCCUGGGUCUUGCAGGGCUGAGGCAGAGCUGCCCCUGGAACAGAAGAGGGGUCAGAGUGAGAAGUUGCCUGGGGCAGCUGAAACGCCACUGUUUAUUUGUCAGAUUCCCAUAGGCACCCUCUGCCGGGGAUGGUUUACUGACUCACGUCACAUCAGGCUCCACUUAGGUCUAGUAAACUGAGGACUGGAGAAAUCACCCUGGACCUGAGCAAGAGGGCAGCCAGGAAGAUGCUAUGCCAACAACGCCUGCCAACAUUUCAGGAAAAAUAAUUGAAAUAAUAAAUAAUUCUGAUUAGGCCGAUAAACCUGGAGGCUGAGGGCAGGACGGAUGCUGAUCUUCCUGACUGAAUCCCGCCAGUUACCUAGAACACGCUGUGUAGAACGUUCUCUUGGAUGUUUGCUGAUCAGCUAUGAUGCCAGGCAGUGAAAGGGCAUCGGGACAACAGUGUCUGUCCCGUGCUCUGUGAAACGGACACAGCACGACUUCACAGGGACACUUUGCAGAGCAGACUUCAGGAAACAAACAGAGCUUAAAAAUAAGCAUUUCCUAAAUAUGGAAAUGAGAAAACGGUGACAUCACUAGAGAAGACCCAAAGACUUUUUUUUUUCCACCUUAAAUGUUGCCUACCUCUUUUGGGCCAAU